Octopus sinensis (East Asian common octopus) is the source of this 164-nucleotide long non-coding RNA. RefSeq lists it as uncharacterized. Lineage: Eukaryota; Metazoa; Mollusca; Cephalopoda; Octopoda; Octopodidae. The transcript is spliced from 3 exons. The record is from RefSeq and is a predicted model, not a curated record.
UGCUGGUGGUGACAGAUUUGGUACAUGAAAACAGAGAAAAAUUUGUUGUGGAAAAUUAUAUAUAAGGAGCAUAAGCAGUAUGUUCAAAAACACUUUUCAUACCCUUUUUAUUCUUAGGAUAAACUAUUCAAUCAAUGAAAUACUACAGAAGACUGAGAAAUUGA